Molecule: ribosomal RNA, 469 nt
Filed under: uncultured Streptococcus sp.
Lineage: Bacteria; Bacillati; Bacillota; Bacilli; Lactobacillales; Streptococcaceae
Description: bacterial SSU rRNA
Rfam family: Bacterial small subunit ribosomal RNA
Source: RNAcentral
GGAAUUGGACGGGACCGCACAAGCGGUGGAUGAUGUGUUAAUUCGAAGCAACGCGAAGAACCUUACCAGGUCUUGACAUCCCGAUGCUAUUUCUAGAGAUAGAAAGUUACUUCGGUACAUCGGUGACAGGUGGUGCAUGGUUGUCGUCAGCUCGUGUCGUGAGAUGUUGGGUUAAGUCCCGCAACGAGCGCAACCCCUAUUGUUAGUUGCCAUCAUUCAGUUGGGCACUCUAGCGAGACUGCCGGUAAUAACCGGAGAAGUGGGGAUGACGUCAAAUCAUCAUGCCCCUUAUGACCUGGGCUACACACGUGCUACAAUGGUUGGUACAACGAGUUGCGAGUCGGUGACGGCGAGCUAAUCUCUUAAAGCCAAUCUCAGUUCGGAUUGUAGGCUGCAACUCGCCUACAUGAAGUCGGAAUCGCUAGUAAUCGCGGAUCAGCACGCCGCGGUGAAUACGUUCCCGGGCCUU